UGGGGAAUUUUGGACAAUGGGCGAAAGCCUGAUCCAGCAAUGCCGCGUGUGUGAAGAAGGCCUUCGGGUUGUAAAGCACUUUUGUCCGGAAAGAGAUCCUUGGCUCUAAUACAGUCGGGGGAUGACGGUACCGGAAGAAUAAGCACCGGCUAACUACGUGCCAGCAGCCGCGGUAAUACGUAGGGUGCAAGCGUUAAUCGGAAUUACUGGGCGUAAAGCGUGCGCAGGCGGUUUGCUAAGACCGAUGUGAAAUCCCCGGGCUCAACCUGGGAACUGCAUUGGUGACUGGCAGGCUAGAGUAUGGCAGAGGGGGGUAGAAUUCCACGUGUAGCAGUGAAAUGCGUAGAGAUGUGGAGGAAUACCGAUGGCGAAGGCAGCCCCCUGGGCCAAUACUGGCGCUCAUGCACGAAAGCGUGGGGAGCAAACAGGAUUAGAUACCCUGGUAGUCCACGCCCUAAACGAUGUCAACUAGUUGUUGGGGAUUCAUUUCCUUAGUAACGUAGCUAACGCGUGAAGUUGACCGCCUGGGGAGUACGGUCGCAAGAUUAAAACUCAAAUGA
This 560-nucleotide ribosomal RNA is filed under the name uncultured bacterium. Its description in RNAcentral is "partial 16S ribosomal RNA". It matches the Rfam family "Bacterial small subunit ribosomal RNA", at positions 355 to 908 of the family's 1533-position model. The record is from RNAcentral.